GCGCCCGUAGCUCAGCUGGAUAGAGCAUCAGGCUUCGAACCUGAGGGUCGGGCGUUCGAAUCGCUCCGGGCGCACCA
This 77-nucleotide transfer RNA is filed under the name Bacillota bacterium. Its description in RNAcentral is "tRNA-Arg". It matches the Rfam family "tRNA". Rfam says of the family: Transfer RNA (tRNA) molecules are approximately 80 nucleotides in length. The record is from RNAcentral. Lineage: Bacteria; Bacillati; Bacillota. RNAcentral also lists the same sequence under 1 other name.